RNAcentral lists this ribosomal RNA (431 nucleotides) under uncultured bacterium. Its description in RNAcentral is "partial 16S ribosomal RNA". It matches the Rfam family "Bacterial small subunit ribosomal RNA", at positions 338 to 795 of the family's 1533-position model. The record is from RNAcentral.
CCUACGGGAGGCAGCAGUGGGGAAUAUUGGACAAUGGGCGCAAGCCUGAUCCAGCAAUGCCGCGUGUGUGAAGAAGGCCUGCGGGUUGUAAAGCACUUCGUGAAAACUUCUGUUACCCACAGAAGAAGCACCGGCUAACUCUGUGCCAGCAGCCGCGGUAAUACAGAGGGUGCGAGCGUUAAUCGGAAUUACUGGGCGUAAAGGGUGCGUAGGUGGUUGCAUAAGUUAGGUGUGAAAGUCCCGGGCUUAACCUGGGAUUGCGCCUGAUACUGUGUAGCUAGAGUACUGUAGAGGAAGGUGGAAUUUCCAGUGUAGCGGUGAAAUGCGUAGAUAUUGGAAGGAACAUCGGUGGCGAAGGCGACCUUCUGGACAGAACUGACACUGAGGCACGAAAGCAUGGGGAGCAAACAGGAUUAGAUACCCUGGUAGUC